RNAcentral lists this ribosomal RNA (497 nucleotides) under uncultured bacterium. RNAcentral's name for it is "partial 16S ribosomal RNA". It matches the Rfam family "Bacterial small subunit ribosomal RNA", at positions 30 to 523 of the family's 1533-position model. The record is from RNAcentral.
AUUGAACGCUGGCGGCAUGCCUUACACAUGCAAGUCGAACGGUAACAGGUCUUCGGAUGCUGACGAGUGGUGAACGGGUGAGUAAUACAUCGGAACGUGCCCGAUCGUGGGGGAUAACGAAGCGAAAGCUUUGCUAAUACCGCAUAAGAUCUAAGGAUGAAAGCAGGGGACCGCAAGGCCUUGCGCGAACGGAGCGGCCGAUGGCAGAUUAGGUAGUUGGUGGGAUAAAAGCUUACCAAGCCGACGAUCUGUAGCUGGUCUGAGAGGACGACCAGCCACACUGGGACUGGGACACGGCCCAGACUCCUACGGGAGGCAGCAGUGGGGAAUUUUGGACAAUGGGCGAAAGCCUGAUCCAGCCAUGCCGCGUGCAGGAUGAAGGCCUUCGGGUUGUAAACUGCUUUUGUACGGAACGAAAAGACUCUUUCUAAUAAAGAGGGUCCAUGACGGUACCGUAAGAAUAAGCACCGGCUAACUACGUGCAGCCGCCGCGGUAA